Molecule: ribosomal RNA, 501 nt
Filed under: uncultured bacterium
Lineage: Bacteria
Description: bacterial SSU rRNA
Rfam family: Bacterial small subunit ribosomal RNA
Source: RNAcentral
CAACAGCUAGAGUUUGAUCCUGGCUCAGGAUAAACGCUGGCGGCGCACAUAAGACAUGCAAGUCGAACGGACUUAACCAUUAGUUUACUAUUGGAGCGGUUAGUGGCGGACUGGUGAGUAACACGUAAGCAACCUGCCUGUUAGAGGGGAACAACAGUUAGAAAUGACUGCUAAUACCGCAUAUGCCAUAGUGAAGACAUCUUCACAGUGGGAAAGGAGCAAUCCGCUAACAGAUGGGCUUGCGUCUGAUUAGAUAGUUGGUGGGGUAACGGCCUACCAAGUCGACGAUCAGUAGCCGGACUGAGAGGUUGAACGGCCACAUUGGGACUGAGAUACGGCCCAGACUCCUACGGGAGGCAGCAGUCGGGAAUAUUGCGCAAUGGAGGAAACUCUGACGCAGUGACGCCGCGUGCAGGAAGAAGGUUUUCGGAUUGUAAACUGCUUUAGACAGGGAAGAAAAAGGACAGUACCUGUAGAAUAAGCUCCGGCUAACUACGUGCC